This 600-nucleotide long non-coding RNA is filed under the name Amborella trichopoda. RNAcentral's name for it is "long non-coding RNA (ATRI_LNC001019)". The record is from RNAcentral. Lineage: Eukaryota; Viridiplantae; Streptophyta; Magnoliopsida; Amborellales; Amborellaceae.
AAAAAAAAAAAAAAAGGUUAACAGAGGUCUUUUAAGAUCCUAAGUAUUAGGAGAGUAUCGGAUCAUUACUUUUUUUUUAUUAUGCCAAAGGGGGCACUCAUAUUUUUAUUUUUUUAAUUUCCAACAAAAUAUAGGUGGAUUAGCAAUAAUAUGGGUGCAUAAAUCAGCGCCUUCAUCAUCAGCGUGAAACGUACCACUUCUAGUUCUUCUCUCGACAUUUGACACUUCAUCAGUCACAAGUAGUGAGAGAGAUUGACUUUCCAAAUUCCAGAACAGCCCCUGCCAUUGAAGACUGAUUAUGCUACACCAUUUUCUCUCUGCCUUCAUUUCCAUGCGUGCUAUUUUUUGUGGGUUUUCUUCUAUUUCUCUCUCUCAACCCCAUUUCCAUGCAUGUUAAUUUUUGUGGGUUUUCUCAUAACUUUUUCUCUCUCAUUCUUCAAUCUCAAAUUCAGGACGCCCCUCUCUAAAAGUAUGAUUUGGGGCCAAGACAACUCUUUUCUCUCUGACUAGCCCCACAAAAGGUAUGAUUUUGAUUCUCUCUCUAGCUUCAAACGCAAAGUACUUUUUUUUUUGACAAGAGUAAUGAAUAUUAUUAGAUCA